RNAcentral lists this ribosomal RNA (490 nucleotides) under uncultured bacterium. RNAcentral describes it as "partial 16S ribosomal RNA". It matches the Rfam family "Bacterial small subunit ribosomal RNA", at positions 30 to 507 of the family's 1533-position model. The record is from RNAcentral.
AUUGAACGCUGGCGGCAGGCCUAACACAUGCAAGUCGAACGGUAACAGGAAGAAGCUUGCUUCUUUGCUGACGAGUGGCGGACGGGUGAGUAAUGUCUGGGAAACUGCCUGAUGGAGGGGGAUAACUACUGGAAACGGUAGCUAAUACCGCAUAACGUCGCAAGACCAAAGAGGGGGACCUUCUGGCCUCUUGCCAUCGGAUGUUCCCAGAUGGGAUUAGCUAGUAGGUGGGGUAACGGCUCACCUAGGCGACGAUCCCUAGCUGGUCUGAGAGGAUGACCAGCCACACUGGAACUGAGACACGGUCCAGACUCCUACGGGAGGCAGCAGUGGGGAAUAUUGCACAAUGGGCGCAAGCCUGAUGCAGCCAUGCCGCGUGUAUGAAGAAGGCCUUCGGGUUGUAAAGUACUUUCAGCGGGGAGGAAGGGAGUAAAGUUAAUACCUUGGCUCAUUGACGUUACCCGCAGAAGAAGCACCGGCUAACUCCGUG